This 71-nucleotide transfer RNA is filed under the name Marmota marmota marmota (Alpine marmot). It matches the Rfam family "tRNA". From Rfam's summary of the family: Transfer RNA (tRNA) molecules are approximately 80 nucleotides in length. RNAcentral also lists the same sequence under 1 other name. Lineage: Eukaryota; Metazoa; Chordata; Mammalia; Rodentia; Sciuridae. The record is from Rfam by way of RNAcentral.
CCAGGUGUAGUUCAGUGUACAGUAUGUGCUCAGCAUGCACAAGACCCUGGGUUCAAUUCCCAGCACCCAAA